RNAcentral lists this ribosomal RNA (253 nucleotides) under uncultured bacterium. RNAcentral describes it as "partial 16S ribosomal RNA". It matches the Rfam family "Bacterial small subunit ribosomal RNA", at positions 524 to 776 of the family's 1533-position model. The record is from RNAcentral.
UACGGGGGGGGCAAGCGUUGUUCGGAAUUACUGGGCGUAAAGGGCGCGUAGGCGGCCUGCUAAGUCACACGUGAAAUCCCUCGGCUCAACCGGGGAACUGCGCGUGAUACUGGCGGGCUCGAAUUCGGGAGAGGGAUGUGGAAUUCCAGGUGUAGCGGUGAAAUGCGUAGAUAUCUGGAGGAACACCGGUGGCGAAGGCGGCAUCCUGGACCGAGAUUGACGCUGAUGCGCGAAAGCUAGGGUAGCAAACGGG